This 303-nucleotide ribosomal RNA is filed under the name Triticum aestivum (bread wheat). RNAcentral's name for it is "partial small subunit ribosomal RNA". Lineage: Eukaryota; Viridiplantae; Streptophyta; Magnoliopsida; Poales; Poaceae. The record is from RNAcentral.
AUGUGGAAGCUCACUAAUGGAGGGACCUAUACUACAUCUUCGGCUUACAAAGCCCAGUUCGCUGGUCUUGUUCGCUCCAAUAUGCAGGCCAUGGUUUGGAAGGUGUGGGCGCCCCCAAAAUGUAAAUUCUUUGCUUGGUUGGUCAUUCAAAACAGAAUUUGGACGGCAGAUAGGCUUCAACAUAGGGGAUAGCCAAAUCGCGACCGGUGCCCUCUCUGCAACCAAGCGCGGGAAACGACGGCUCACCUCCUCUUCAAGUGUCGGUUCUCUAUGCGAGUCUGGAACGAUAUUUCACUUGGCUAG